ACAAUGGCGCAGUGACGCGGCAGGAACAUGGCGGAUCAUAGGACCAAGGGGAUAUAUAUUUAAUAAAGUUUAUGAGGGUGCGCGCAGCAGUCAGUGAGAGACAAGCAGAAAAUGUUUGCAUGACGAAGCAAACAAAGACAGAUUUAUCGAUCCGACCAUCGAGAUGUUUACACAUUAAAUACGUGUUUGCUUUGACGUGUUCCGAGCGAACAAGACGUGAGAAUAUGGAACACAUUUCCACCGAGCAGGUCUUGGAUCACAUCUAGCGGGUCUACAGCACCACUACAUGACAUCAGCAGGAAUCUAAGCGGAACAUUUUGAGUGCCUCUUUCACACCGGAAGAGGAGCUUCGACGCUCAUUUGGCGCAAGUUAAUUGCAGAACAACCAGUGGGUACACUUCAAGUUGGAGCUUUUAGGUGGCUAACUUUGCUCUACCUGCCAUAUUCCCUGAGCCCACCUCUCUUCCCGCCAUGGCGGUGAGCAGCGAGCCCACUUUAGAGAAGCUGGAGUCCACAUCUGAGGAACAAACCAGCAGUCUCACCGACAUCAUGGCUGCCAUGGCUACAAAAGACCUCAGCGGUUCUCUGAGGAAUGGAGGAGCUCAGCUGGUCAAGCCUCAGCCAUCACGGCCUCAGUUGACCGGAAGGAAGUCCUCUCUGCAGGAACGAGGCACUUACCUGUCCUCUGCAGGGGGCUACACACACAUCUCCCCCCGGGUAGCUCAAAGGCCGACAGUGGAGUCUAAACGUGUGUCUAUAUCCGAUUCUCAGAAUUGUGUCCAGUUGAACCAGUAUAAAUUGGAGAGUGAGAUUGGAAAGGGAUCUUAUGGUGUGGUCAAGCUUGCCUAUAACGAGGAUGAUGACAAACAUUAUGCCAUGAAAGUUGUUUCAAAGAAGAAGUUAAUGAAGCAGUGUGGUUUUCCACGUCGCCCACCUCCUAGGGGACCCAAGGCAGUCCAAGGAGAGCAGCCUAAGUUCCUCGGACCAUUGGAAAGAGUCUACCAAGAGAUUGCCAUCCUUAAAAAACUGGACCAUGUCAACAUUGUCAAAUUAGUGGAGGUGCUGGAUGAUCCUGCAGAAGACAAUCUUCACAUGGUGUUUGAGUUGAUGCGCAAUGGGCCGGUGAUGGAAGUGCCUACAGACAACCCUUUGUCAGAAGAACAGGCAAGGUUAUAUCUCCGUGACGUCAUCCUUGGUAUAGAGUACUUGCACUACCAGAAGAUUGUUCACAGGGACAUCAAACCUUCUAAUUUGUUGCUCGGGGAUGACGGCCAUGUGAAGAUUGCAGAUUUUGGAGUGAGCAACCAGUUUGAGGGAAGUGAUGCCAUGCUGUCCAGCACAGCUGGUACUCCUGCCUUCAUGGCUCCCGAGACCUUGUCAGACAAGCGCAAGAGCUUCAGUGGGAAGGCGCUGGAUGUUUGGGCCAUGGGAAUCACUCUCUACUGUUUUGUCUUUGGAAAGUGCCCGUUUAUUGAUGAGUACAUAUUGGCUCUGCACAAUGAGAUACGGAGCAGGCCUGUGGAUUUCCCAGAAAUACCAAAAAUAAAUGAAGAGCUGCGGACCUUGAUUUUGAGGAUGCUAGAUAAGAACCCGGACACCCGCAUCACCAUCCCUGAAAUGAAGAUGAACCAAUGGGUCACUAAGGAGGGCACUGAGCCACUUCCUCUGGAGGACGAGCACUGCAGUGUGGUGGAGGUGACGGAAGAGGACAUCAAGAACUCGGUCAAGUUUGUUCCCAGUCUGUCUGCUGUGAUCUUGGUAAAAGCCAUGUUGAGGAAACGUUCUUUCAGCAACCCGUUUGAGUGUCCAAGCCGGCGAGAGGAGAGGUCCAUGUCUGCACCAGGCAGCCUGCUUAUCAGGCAGCAGGGUAAUACAUGCAGCAGUCCCAAUGUGCAAUAACCCAGCAACUGACAGGUGAACCACAAGGAACUUAAGUAGGCCUAAUUACACACAGGAAACAGGUAGGCUUGAGGGAAACAGAAUAAAAAAUGAAGUUGCAGCCAACCUUAGAAACUGAGCAAGGAGUACAUCACAAAACACAAGGAAAUAUUAAUAUUAAUAUUUAUAACUCCAAAGCUGUCAUGUGGGAUCAUGACAAUUUGUUCGGAUCUUGCAAGGUUCACGGUUACAUUUUGUUGAAAAAAAGUAAACUGGCUGACUCAAUCAAUGGAUUUGGAAGCCAUUGUCAUUGUGAAGCCCCUUGUGAUUAAGAGCUAUGUAUUAAGUAAAAUGUUGUUGAUUGAUUGAUUUUAUUUAAAAAAUAACAAUGAUGAAACAAACAGAACAAAAAAGUGAAGGUAAGAGUUGGUUGUACUUUUCUUAUGGUACUGUGUUUGGAAAUUAAAAAUGUAUUAUAUCUAACAGCAAUACUUAAUAUACCUGUAACUCCAGCCUAUAGUCUAGCUUAGAGAAAUUGCAGAAGGACAUACAUUACAGUAUGAUGUGUAAUGUUUUAGCUUAAUUAUAAUUUCAUUUUCAUUUGGAUCCGUUAAUAAAUAUGUUGCAUCAUAUUGUCCUUUCUGUUCGGACAACACAGUGAAAGUUGACGUAAUUGUGACGUAAAUGGUGAUUAAUCAUGAUUAAUUGAUUUGCAGAGUGUGAUUAUUCUGAUUAAAAGUGUGACAGCGCUAUAAAAUUCAUCCACCACAAAAGUACAGUCACCGUGUUUGACUUGUUCGUCUUUUCUUCCACUUGGUUGCAGGGAUUCUUGGCCUCUCAGGCCCUCUUUAAAACGUCACCCCUCACUCAGAAAGGGCAGCACAGGUGAUGGACCCCGAGAAGGCAACCUGGAGGACGUGCAUGAAGAUGAAGCCUCUUCUUGAACUGAAACAUGCUUCAGCUACUCGCUCCUCACUUUGUGUUCUUCACAGCAAAGAUGCUCCAAAAUCCAGUGCAAUGAAUUUGAUGCUUUUUAUACUCAGUAAGCCACUUCUUUUUUUGUGUGGAAAAAGGACAUGCUUGAUUUCACACCUUAUAUUGUCUUACAAAUUAUUAUUAUUAUUAUUAUUAUUGAUGUCUUAGCAGUGUUAUUACCUCUAAUCAAUCCAUGAUCUUUUCACCGUGGGACUGUUUAAGCUAAUUAAGAUAAUGAAGAAAAUUAAGCUACAAGUUUUAUGAAGAUGCACCUAAUAUAAUAUUUAUAAGUAAUAUAAUAGCAUUGACAGUGCCGAAAAUCAAUCAAGAUGUGAUUGAUCAAUCAAGAAUUAAGUGAUUGAUUGAUUGAAGAAGCAAAUGUUAUUUAAUCGAUUACUGUAUUGAUCAUGUGUUCACUUCCUGCAUUUUUCUGCAUAUCCAUACAUACAAACUCAUGUUUUAUUGUUUCAUAUAAGAUAAAAUAAUGAAAAAGAAAUAUCAAUAUAGUCGAUACAUUUGAAUGAUGAAUGAAUGAAAAAUGCAUAACUCAUUAAAUGUAUUAAUAUACACUUUUUUUUUUUGUUUUAAUGUAAUACUUUUAAUAAACCUUCAGCAUGAUAAAGCAGUAGAAAAGAUAGAUGGAUGCAAUUAUGGAUGAUGAAUGGAUGAAUGUGUGGUCCUCCAGGGAAGUUUUUCUUUUGCGGAAUUUAUUUGAACAAACAUAAGGUUUUUUGUUUUUUUCUUAGGUUUAUGUUGGGUUUUUUUUCUUUUUAAAUCUGUUGAUGAUUAAUACAUUAAUCAAUACAUUAAUAUUCAAUUGGCUAGUAUCAAAUUGCUUUGCUUCCCUCUAAACGGAGGUCACCGUUUCAGUUGAUCCCGUUUAUGGGAUAAACUGGAUAAAGUUCAUGACCAUGCUGGGCGGUAUAGCUCGGUUGGUAGAGCGGCCGUGCCAGCAACUUGAGGGUUCCAGGUUCGAUCCCCGCUUCCGCCAUCCUAGUCACUGCCGUUGUGUCCUUGGGCAAGACACUACCCACCUGCUCCCAGUGCCACCCACACUGGUUUAAAUGUAUCUUAGAUAUUGGGUUUCACUAUGUAAAGCCCUUUGAGUCACUAGAGAAAAGCGCUAAAAAAAUAUAAUUCACUUCACACACUUUACUGUCCUUAAUUUGUCAACAUAUAUGGUGGAUCGCUUUUGUUGACAUAGCACGUCAGAUCAUAAGAUCAGAAAAUUGGUUUGUUUAUGUUGGCAUAAUAUUGUUUACGUCGUCUUGUCACAAGCAGAUUUGUGGAAACAAACAAAGAGCAGCAGGAGAGAAAGUGUCACUCCCUUUAAAGCUUCCAGUAGAACCAAAGAUCUUUUCUUCCGCUUUUUGUUCAUAACGGAAUAUUGUUUAAAAAAUCAUGUAUUUUUAUUCUUGUUAAGUUACAUGUACUUUAGUUAUGUUGACAGCUGCUUAUUGUCGAUGCGCGAGUCAGCCAAUCUGUGGUCAACUUAAGCGGCUCCGUACUUGAUAUAAAAUACAGUAUUUUAGUAAAGUACUUUAAUAAAGCAAUUGACCUAUAAUAUUUAGACUAUUUCAUAUAUUCCUGAGUCAUCACAUAUGUUGAUCAUAUUGCCUUGUUUCCACAUUUUAUUGAAACUUUAAGAAAACGUUUUCUUUUAUUAAAGUUUUCACGCAUCAUUUCUGCUGCAUCAGCACUUUUGAGGAGCUGCUAAACUUUGUGAUUGAGCUUCGCCUUAAUGUCCUUUAUGAAAAAUGAUAUUCACAUUAUGUGUUUUGAAGAAAGUGUGCUGCUUCAAGAAACUACUACUGCAUGCAUCAAUUGAGAAAGGACAAACUUAUUUUCAUGACUUCUUUUAAAACAUGCUGACAAAGCAGAUAUUUAUUACAUGACAGAUAUUCAUAUAACUUUUUGUUUGUUCUGUUUUUUAUGGUUUAUUGCUGUUGCUUGUGUAAAUGAAAAUACUGAUAAUAGAAACUCCAAAGGGCUUUUUCAACUCAUAUUUUGUGUCGUAACUUUGUGUCCUUUCUAACUUGAAAUGUCAUCAACUGAUUUACUUUAAAUAUCACAUUCUACUAUGUACAGUAUUACUACAUCAUACUACAGGCAGUACAAAUACCUUCUUCUACAUACAGUACUAUACAUUCCACUGCGUACACAUGCGAGGCAAGGAGUGAACUGUCUGUAAAACACAAUAAAUACUUUC
RNA transcript from Entelurus aequoreus (snake pipefish), 5062 nucleotides. It is a transcript of the gene named calcium/calmodulin-dependent protein kinase kinase 1, alpha a, with no coding region annotated. The record is from RefSeq and is a predicted model, not a curated record. NCBI's taxonomy places the organism in Eukaryota, Metazoa, Chordata, Actinopteri, Syngnathiformes, Syngnathidae. The transcript is spliced from 17 exons.